GUGUUAUUAAGCAUAAUCUGUGUAUUCGUUAACAGCCGCCACUCCCCUCAGUCCUCUACUCUCUCCGUCUCAGCCCACUCACUUUCUUUCUUCUUUCUCUAACUCUCAACACUCUCCACUCUCACUCUCAAUAAUCCUCCACUGAGCUUCUUUGCCUCCGUUUUGCAUCCUUGUCGAGCUUCUCACAUCGCCUCGGGCUCGGUUGCAGACUGCCCAAACUGGUCAAUAGAAUGGCUGGGGUUCGAGAAAUCACGACUUCUGAAUUCUUACAAGGAAUACAUAAGCAAAAUCGUGUUUUUCAUUGUACUUCUCGAGCUCCAAGAUCAAAUCCUCUAUGGGGCAUGAUAUUGCGUCCUAGAAGAGGAAUUCCAUUGAGUUUGAGGUGCCGCGCUCAGGCAAAGCCCAAAGCUGUUGUUUCUGAUGGCUUGGGCAGUCCGGUAACUGAGCAAUCCACAAUCAAGCCUGGUGCUGGAGUUGUACAUUUUUAUCGGGUGCCGCUGAUUCAGGAUAGCGCUACAUCUGAGCUUCUCAAGUCUUUUCAAGCUAAAGUCUCAACUCAGAUUCUUGGUUUAAAAACAGAGCAGUGUUUCAACAUUGGGCUUCAGUCAGAACUUUCAGCAGAAAAGUUAUCCGUUCUUAAGUGGCUUCUUCAGGAGACUUAUGAGCCUGAGAAUUUGGGGGCUGAGAGUUUCCUUGAGAAGAAAAGGCAGGAAGGGUUGAGUAUGGUUAUAAUUGAGGUUGGUCCCCGGUUAUCUUUUACGACUGCAUGGUCUUCUAAUGCUGUAUCAAUUUGUCAAGCUUGCGGUUUGACAGAGGUGACUCGAUUGGAACGCUCGAGGAGAUACUUGUUGUAUAGUAAAGGUCCGUUGCAGGAUACUCAGAUCAAUGAGUUAGCUGCAAUGGUUCAUGAUAGGAUGACUGAGUGUGUUUAUACUCAGAAGCUUACAUCUUUUGAGACGACUGUGAUUCCAGAGGAGGUUCGCUAUGUACCUGUCAUGGAAAAUGGCCGGAAAGCAUUGGAGGAAAUUAAUCAACAAAUGGGUUUAGCGUUUGAUGAGCAAGAUCUCCAAUAUUACACUAGGCUUUUUAGAGAGGAAAUCAAGCGUAAUCCAACGACAGUGGAACUAUUUGAUAUUGCACAAUCUAACAGCGAGCAUAGCAGACAUUGGUUUUUCACUGGUAAAAUAGUUAUAGAUGGAAAGCCAAUGGACAGGACUCUCAUGCAGAUUGUGAAGAGCACUUUGCAAGCAAAUCCAAACAAUUCCGUAAUUGGGUUCAAGGAUAACUCGAGUGCAAUAAAGGGGUUUCCUGUCAAGCAUUUGCGACCAGUUCAUCCGGGUUCAACAUGUCCAUUAGAGUCAGCUCUUCGAGAUCUUGAUGUGUUGUUUACUGCUGAAACACACAAUUUUCCAUGUGCAGUGGCACCUUACCCUGGUGCAGAAACUGGUGCAGGUGGACGUAUAAGGGAUACUCAUGCGACAGGGAGAGGUUCUUUUGUUGUUGCUUCAACAGCUGGUUAUUGUGUUGGGAAUCUCAAUAUGGAGGGUUCUUAUGCUCCUUGGGAAGAUCCUUCUUUCACUUAUCCAUCUAAUUUGGCAUCACCUUUGCAGAUUCUUAUAGAUGCUAGUAAUGGUGCAUCUGACUACGGGAACAAGUUUGGAGAGCCGUUGAUUCAGGGCUACACUAGAACUUUUGGAAUGCGACUUCCAAGUGGGGAAAGACGUGAAUGGCUAAAACCAAUUAUGUUUAGUGCAGGCAUUGGGCAGAUUGAUCACACCCACAUAUCGAAAGGCGAGCCUGACAUUGGAAUGCUGGUUGUGAAAAUUGGAGGCCCAGCUUACCGUAUUGGUAUGGGAGGUGGGGCUGCAUCAAGCAUGGUUAGUGGACAGAAUGAUGCAGAGCUUGAUUUUAAUGCUGUACAACGUGGAGAUGCAGAGAUGGCACAAAAAUUGUAUCGGGUAGUUCGUGCUUGCAUUGAGAUGGGAGAGAAUAACCCAAUCAUUAGCAUUCAUGAUCAAGGAGCUGGCGGAAAUUGUAAUGUUGUUAAGGAAAUCAUUUAUCCAAAGGGUGCUGAGAUUGAUAUCCGGGCCAUUGUAGUUGGUGACCACACAAUGUCAGUGUUGGAGAUAUGGGGUGCUGAAUAUCAAGAGCAAGAUGCAAUUUUGGUGAAAGCUGAAAGUCGUGACCUUCUGCAGUCUAUUUGCGAAAGAGAAAGGGUUUCUAUGGCUGUUAUUGGAACCAUUAAUGGUCAGGGUCGGGUUGUUCUGGUUGAUAGUGAAGCUAUUGAAAAAUGCCAAUCAAGUGGACUUCCUAAACCUCCCCCUGCUGUGGAUUUGGAGCUGGAUAAAGUACUUGGGGACAUGCCACAGAAGACCUUUGAAUUCCAUCGAGUCAUUGAUGCAAGAGAGUCACUUGAUAUUGCUCCUGGGAUAACUGUCAUGGAUGCUCUUAAGAGGGUAUUAAGACUUCCAUCUGUUUGUUCAAAGCGUUUCUUGACUACCAAGGUGGACAGGUGUGUAACUGGGCUUGUAGCCCAGCAGCAAACUGUUGGACCCCUGCAAAUUACUCUUGCUGAUGUUGCAGUUAUUGCUCAAACAUAUACUGACUUUACUGGAGGCGCAUGUGCGAUUGGGGAGCAGCCAAUUAAAGGUUUGCUAGAUCCAAAAGCAAUGGCAAGAUUGGCUGUUGGAGAAGCGCUCACUAAUCUUGUUUGGGCAAAGGUGACUUCUUUGGCUGACGUUAAAGCAAGUGGAAAUUGGAUGUAUGCUGCCAAACUCGAUGGGGAAGGAGCUGCUAUGUAUGAUGCUGCUAAUGCUCUUUCUGAAGCUAUGAUUGAGCUUGGUAUUGCUAUUGAUGGGGGAAAGGAUAGUCUUUCAAUGGCUGCCCAUUCUGGAGGGGAGGUUGUUAAGGCUCCUGGAAAUCUUGUAAUAAGUGUCUAUGUGACUUGUCCUGACAUAACGAAAACAAUUACCCCUGAUUUGAAGUUAGGAGAUGAUGGUGUGCUACUUCACAUUGACUUGGCAAAGGGAAAGCGUCGUUUGGGUGGAUCUGCGCUUGCUCAAGUUUUUGACCAAGUUGGGGAUGAUUGUCCUGACCUUGAUGACGUUCCUUAUCUUAAAAGAGUUUUUGAGUGCACUCAGGCACUUCUUGAAGAUGAGUUCAUCUCUGCUGGUCAUGACAUUAGUGAUGGUGGGUUACUGACAUGUGUUCUAGAGAUGGCAUUUUCUGGGAACUGUGGUGUUGUGUUGGAUUUGAAUUCACAUGGGAAGAGCCUUUUCCAAACACUCUUUGCUGAAGAACUUGGUCUAAUUAUUGAGGUAAGUACAAAGAACUUGGAUAUUGUGAUGGAGAAGCUAGCUAGUGAAGGUAUAUCUGCCAACAUUGUUGGACAAGUAAGUUCUGAACCCACAGUUGAAUUGAAGGUCGAUGGGCUGUCUCAUUUGAAUGAGACUACUUCUUUCCUUAGGGACAUGUGGGAGGAAACCAGUUUUGAGUUGGAAAGGUUUCAGAGAUUGGCUUCUUGUGUUGAUCAAGAGAAAGAGGGGUUGAAAGUUAGGCAUGAACCCUCGUGGAACUUAUCCUUCACUCCUUCCUUCACAGAUGAGAAGUAUAUGAACGCAACAUCAAAACCAAAGGUGGCUGUAAUUCGAGAAGAAGGGAGCAAUGGAGAUAGAGAAAUGUCUGCAGCCUUUUAUGCUUCUGGUUUUGAGCCAUGGGAUGUGACUAUGUCAGACCUUUUAAAUGGGUCAAUCUCACUGGAUGAUUUCAGAGGAGUGGUAUUUGUUGGUGGUUUCAGUUAUGCUGAUGUUCUCGACUCAGCAAAAGGAUGGGCUGCAUCAAUACGAUUCAAUCGACCCCUUCUAAAUCAAUUUCAGGAGUUCUACAAGCGGCCAGACACAUUUAGCCUUGGCAUUUGUAAUGGCUGUCAGCUUAUGGCUCUAUUGGGAUGGAUUCCGGGUCCCCAAGUUGGUGGUGUUCAUGGUCUUGGUGGGGAUCCAUCACAGCCAAGGUUCAUUCACAAUGAGUCUGGACGAUUUGAGUGUCGAUUCACAAAUGUGACAAUUAGAGACUCACCAGCUGUAAUGUUUAAAGGAAUGGAGGGUAGUACAUUGGGGGUGUGGGCUGCUCAUGGUGAGGGAAGAGCAUACUUCCCUGAUGAUGGCGUUUUUGAUAGAGUGCUUCAUUCCAAUUUGGCCCCAGUAAGAUACUGUGACGAUGAUGGGAAUGAGACAGAGCAAUAUCCAUUUAAUAUGAAUGGCUCUCCUUUAGGAGUUGCUGCUAUUUGUUCACCAGAUGGGAGACAUCUUGCUAUGAUGCCUCAUCCUGAGCGUUGUUUCCUAAUGUGGCAAUACCCAUGGUAUCCGAAGAACUGGAAUGUGGACAAGAAAGGUCCAAGUCCCUGGUUGAAAAUGUUCCAAAAUGCCAGAGAUUGGUGCUCUUGAGAGCAUGCCCAGUGGCUGGAGUAUCUCAGUUUCUAUACUGUGAAUGAGGUUGCAAAAACGUUCAAAGGUUAAUUGGAAGAUCUUGCUUCCUCUCUUGCUAACAUAUUUUGACAAGGUUUCAAGUUUUUGUUUACUUUUAGUCAAGCAAGGACCCAAAAUUUGAAGAGAUGGACAUUUCAGUUUUCCAAUAUUACCUGUAUGCUUGAUCUGAUAAGAUCGUUUUCUUAAUCUCCAUUGUGACACAACAGAGCAGAGCUGGUACACCAGGAGAAUAAUUACAUUUUUCAUAAGUAUCUUUAGAUAUUUCUUUUGGUUAUUCUAACUUUGCUUUGUUCGGCUCCCAAUUACUUCCACCAAUACAAAUACAUGCAUUCCUACUUUAUAUAUUCGCCCUUAUUAUCAUGUAAUUUAUAUAUAUAACCCAAAAAAUAAAAUGUGUGAUGAGUAUUGUUGCAAGGUCCCCAAGGCACAUAAAGUCCCAGUUUAAUUGGUUUUAAGAUAGUUUCUUGAUUAAAA
Molecule: RNA transcript, 4958 nt
Organism: Humulus lupulus (European hop)
Lineage: Eukaryota; Viridiplantae; Streptophyta; Magnoliopsida; Rosales; Cannabaceae
Gene name: probable phosphoribosylformylglycinamidine synthase, chloroplastic/mitochondrial
Exons: 5
Source: RefSeq, a predicted model, not a curated record